GCACUGACUUCUAUCUCAUUAAUUUAAUAGGCUCCUGGAAUGAGGAUGGGAAGGUAGAGAGGCAGCCUUGACAAGGAGAUUACUGAGCAGCGCCGGCAUUGUGUGUUUUGCGAGCUCGUAACAGAACGAGGACUUGCUGGAGGGCAUUCCAAUGUAAGGUGAAGAAAGCGAAGAAGGCUAGAGAUAAAGGCACUCUCUGCACACAGAGGAGGAGCCUAUUGAACAGAAGCCUUUGCCCUGAUGAAACUGUUUCUAUAGCACCAUUUUCAUAAAAUUCAGAAAUGCUUUUGCUGCAGAAAUAUCAGCUCCUUUAUGAC
Molecule: long non-coding RNA, 317 nt
Filed under: Homo sapiens (human)
Lineage: Eukaryota; Metazoa; Chordata; Mammalia; Primates; Hominidae
Description: HSALNT0102269
Source: RNAcentral